GCGCGAAAACUUUACAAUGCUGGCAACAGCGAUAAGGGAACCUCGAGUGCCAGGUUACAAAUCUGGCUGUCGAGAUGCCUAAAAAGCAUUUCAUAGCAAGGGCCGGGCAAGACCGGUGCCAGCCGCCGCGGUAACACCGGCGGCUCGAGUGGUAACCGUUAUUAUUGGGUCUAAAGGGUCUGUAGCCGGCCGGAUAAGUCUCUUGGGAAAUCUGGCAGCUCAACUGUCAGGCUUUCAGGAGAUACUGUCUGGCUCGAGGCCGGGAGAGGUGAGAGGUGCUUGAGGGGUGUGGGUGGAAUAUAGUAAUCGAUGAAGGGCAAUCAGUGGCGAGGGCGUCUGACCAGAACGGAUCUGACGGCAAGGGACGAAAGCUAGGGGCACGAACCG
This 387-nucleotide ribosomal RNA is filed under the name uncultured bacterium. RNAcentral's name for it is "bacterial SSU rRNA". It matches the Rfam family "Archaeal small subunit ribosomal RNA", at positions 339 to 726 of the family's 1478-position model. The record is from RNAcentral.